This 492-nucleotide ribosomal RNA is filed under the name uncultured bacterium. RNAcentral describes it as "partial 16S ribosomal RNA". It matches the Rfam family "Bacterial small subunit ribosomal RNA", at positions 29 to 507 of the family's 1533-position model. The record is from RNAcentral.
AGUGAACGCUGGCGGUAGGCCUAACACAUGCAAGUCGAACGGCAGCACAGUAAGAGCUUGCUCUUACGGGUGGCGAGUGGCGGACGGGUGAGGAAUACAUCGGAAUCUACUUUUUCGUGGGGGAUAACGUAGGGAAACUUACGCUAAUACAGCAUACGACCUACGGGUGAAAGCAGGGGAUCUUCGGACCUUGCGCGAUUGAAUGAGCCGAUGUCGGAUUUGCUAGUUGGCGGGGUAAAGGCCCACCAAGGCGACGAUCCGUAGCUGGUCUGAGAGGAUGAUCAGCCACACUGGAACUGAGACACGGUCCAGACUCCUACGGGAGGCAGCAGUGGGGAAUAUUGGACAAUGGGCGCAAGCCUGAUCCAGCCAUACCGCGUGGGUGAAGAAGGCCUUCGGGUUUUAAAGCCCUUUUGUUGGGAAAGAAAAGCAGCAGGUUAAUACCCCGCUGUUCUGACGGUACCCAAAGAAUAAGCACCGGCUAACUUCGUG